AUGCAAACUACCCGAUUCUAUUCUGUUCUUAUAUGAAUACUCGGUCAAACAACAAGCCUUCUGCAUGCUCUUGUAGAUCAUAAUCCUCUAUGCUGAAGCAAUCAGAUUUUGCAAUCUUUGAGUUGGUCUCAUCUUUGUCGAGGUCUACAGAACUUUUUAUGUAACUUUUGAUCUCUUGUCGAAGACCAGUGGUUAAUGUUGGUUCUCGAGCUAACGAAAACUGAGUUUUUCUGCCAGAAUCUGCAUUCUUAUCUCCUCCAUCUAUUGCAGAUACUAAAGGACUGACAUUAGCAGGCAAAACAGAAUCCAUGGGACUAUGCAACAACUGACUAUCACCAACUAUUUCCUGUUAAGCACAAGGACAUCAUUAGAGAAAAAU
This 379-nucleotide long non-coding RNA is filed under the name Daucus carota (carrot). RNAcentral describes it as "long non-coding RNA (DCAR_LNC007285)". Lineage: Eukaryota; Viridiplantae; Streptophyta; Magnoliopsida; Apiales; Apiaceae. The record is from RNAcentral.